Molecule: ribosomal RNA, 393 nt
Filed under: uncultured bacterium
Lineage: Bacteria
Description: partial 16S ribosomal RNA
Rfam family: Bacterial small subunit ribosomal RNA
Source: RNAcentral
AUACGGAGGAUGCAAGCGUUAUCCGGAUUUAUUGGGUUUAAAGGGUGCGUAGGCGGGACUGUAAGUCAGGGGUGAAAUACUGCAGCUUAACUGUAGCAUUGCCUUUGAAACUGUGGUUCUUGAGUACAGUUGAGGUAGGCGGAAUGUGGUGUGUAGCGGUGAAAUGCAUAGAUAUACCACAGAACGCCGAUUGCGAAGGCAGCUUACUAAGCUGUUACUGACGCUGAGGCACGAAAGCGUGGGGAUCAAACAGGAUUAGAUACCCUGGUAGUCCACGCUGUAAACGAUGAUUACUAGCUGUUUGCGAUACAAUGUAAGCGGCUGAGCGAAAGCGUUAAGUAAUCCACCUGGGGAGUACGACCGCAAGGUUGAAACUCAAAUGAAUUGGCGGGG